Helianthus annuus (common sunflower) is the source of this 2363-nucleotide long non-coding RNA. RefSeq lists it as uncharacterized. The record is from RefSeq and is a predicted model, not a curated record. NCBI's taxonomy places the organism in Eukaryota, Viridiplantae, Streptophyta, Magnoliopsida, Asterales, Asteraceae. The transcript has 7 exons.
UUGAUGAGCGCCAAAGCCCCUUUUCCUUUAUUCUCCGCUCUUUUUCUUCUCUCUCACACAAUGCAUCUUAUUUCCCCUUCCUUCGGCCGUAAGAUUCAAACCCUAAAAAUCAGAUGAUGCUUCCCUUCAACGAUUCCAUUGAGAAAACCCUAAAAUCUUCCAUUGCAUUGCAUCGCAUCUAUUACUCUGAUUCAAGUUUAUUGAUCGUUGAUCUCUUAAACCAAAUCAAUCUUAAAGUAUAUUUGUUUUUAAUUCAUAGUUUCCAUCUGUUUUCAGAAUAUUCAGAAGAUCUGUGUAGCCAUGUCUUAUGCUUACCUCUUCAAGUACAUUAUCAUCAUUGGAGAUACUGGUUUGUUACUGGCAAUCUAAAAUUGGACACAGUUAGUAUUUUAGAUAUAACCAGUUUCUUUACCCGAUCUAUUUAUCAUCGGCUUCACAUUCACAAACCCUAAUGUUUAUCGCCGUUUAUUCGCAACCAAGUCUCAGUUUUAGGAUUUGUGGGUCUGUGAAUCGGGGCUGGAGAACAAGAAUCAAAGAAAUUGGAGCAAUUUAUCAUUCUGCAAUACUCCCAAAAAAUGAAUGGAAAUUGAAAGGAACAGAGCUUCCACUAACAACACUUUCUAUCCCAUUCUUAAUUUUAAAAGUUGGACAAUGAAGUGUUUCAAGUCCACUACGUGAUCGGGCCCACUCCCAGCUGAUGUUACGGUUUUGAACCAUUAGUCGAACCACCUAUUACAUUUGGAAACUGAAUUUGCUGUAUUGAGAUUAUUAAGCUAUAGUUGCAUAUCAUGGAUAUGAGGUAAAAUUCAUGUGGUAAGAGAUGAGAUAGAGCAACUCAUGGAUGAUGAUGGAGAUAUGGCUGAAAUGUAUUUGGUUGAGAAAAAAAGCAUAUGGAGUCAUUAUUCUGUAGUGGAGAUCAAUCUUUGGCAGGACACAAAUCAAUGAAUGGGAUUCAGUCUAUUUUUGCUUUGAUUUCUCCUGUUUCUUCACCUCCAACUGGUCGAAGUUUUGACAGAAAUUUGAGCCUUGCAAGGAGCAUGAAUGAGAGCACAAGUAGUUUAGAGAGUGCGAUAGUGCUACUGAAAACAUUGGUAUUGCAACUCCGUACACAUUGAAGGAAAAUGCGCUCAUUUUGAUGAGAAUUGUUAACUUUCAUACCCUUCUCUUGGAAUCUUGCAUUGGUUAUAUUUCGUCACCUGACUUAAUAAUAAGUUGUUGGCUGGUGAUGUAAUUAUUUCCGGUCUUCAGGUUGAUGCUUCAAGGUAAUAGAGUACGUUAUACUUGGCCUCCUUAAUUGUUUCACAUAUUUUCUAGAAGGUGGCAAAAAACUCAACCUAAUAAGAAAGAGGCCAAAUAGCUGGAGAGUUCCCCAAUGUGUAGAGUUGGGUUUUGACCCAUUUCACACCCGUACAGUUAAUUUAAGUGUUCUGACACAUUUCGCACCCUUACAGUAGAGUUAACCGUUUUGGCUCAUUUUGCACCCGUACAGUAGAGUUAACCAUUUUGACCCAUUACUCAACUCGCAUGCAUGUCCAUUUUGGCCACAAUAAUUUUAUGUGUUUAAUUGGAAGCUUAAUCCUCGAUUGGAAGCUUUAGCCACAGGUGUGAGCAUGAACUUGCUAUAACAUGAUUAAAUUGUCGCGAGAUAACUCUUUAAUAAUCUUUAAAAUUUGUGUGUAGAUUUGUAUGCUUUGACAAGAUAUUUUGAUGCUAAAGAUCGAACAAAUGAAAAAAAUAACGACAAAUCUAAGCUUAGGUAAGACCAACUUUAGGACUAACUUCCUGCUAAUGAACCUGGUGCCUCAAAUUUGGGGAUUUAUGCCUGAAAAUAGUAGAUUAUGGAUAUUACUGGGUUUGCCAAAAUUAGUUGCUACUAUUAGUUUUUUUAAUAUCAUUAUAUUUUCUUUAACCUUGGAUCUACACCUAUAAUCAUAGUAGAUGACUGUAGAUACAUUGAUUUAUUGCAUAAACCAAAAUUGAUACUUUCAUGUUGGUACACAAAUGAGUUCAGAGGAGACACUUUGAUAAAGUAAUUUGACAUUUUUUUGGAAAGGUUUUGGGGUUUACUACAAAAUGUUUGCUGUAUGUUGAUCAAUGGUUAUUUGUUUUGAAGAUGAAUUUUGUAUAUGGCUGAUUAGACGCAAAAUAGAAAUAAAGAAGCAAAUAAUAGAAAAAGUAGUGCACUUGAAUCACUUUAUCAAGGUGGAGUGGCUGAAUGACAAAAAUGAUAACACUGAGGAAGAAGAUUGAGUGAUCAUAUUAUGUACGUAUAUUAUACGCAAUUGUUCUGGUGUGCUUAUUGUCUUUAUACAUCAAGACAUUAGUUUGUAAGUUUUAUUUGAAGGAUCCUAUUAUUUGCUAAA